This 301-nucleotide ribosomal RNA is filed under the name uncultured bacterium. RNAcentral describes it as "partial 16S ribosomal RNA". It matches the Rfam family "Bacterial small subunit ribosomal RNA", at positions 509 to 807 of the family's 1533-position model. The record is from RNAcentral.
CAGCAGCCACGGUAAUACAGAGGGUGCGAGCGUUAAUCGGAUUUACUGGGCGUAAAGCGUGCGUAGGCGGCUUUUUAAGUCGGAUGUGAAAUCCCUGAGCUUAACUUAGGAAUUGCAUUCGAUACUGGGAAGCUAGAGUAUGGGAGAGGAUGGUAGAAUUCCAGGUGUAGCGGUGAAAUGCGUAGAGAUCUGGAGGAAUACCGAUGGCGAAGGCAGCCAUCUGGCCUAAUACUGACGCUGAGGUACGAAAGCAUGGGGAGCAAACAGGAUUAGAUACCCAGGUAGUCCCUGUCUCUUAUAC